Molecule: ribosomal RNA, 685 nt
Filed under: Pentodon idiota
Lineage: Eukaryota; Metazoa; Arthropoda; Insecta; Coleoptera; Scarabaeidae
Description: eukaryotic LSU rRNA
Rfam family: Eukaryotic large subunit ribosomal RNA
Source: RNAcentral
GGGACCCGUCUUGAAACACGGACCAAGGAGUCUAGCAUGUGCGCGAGUCAUUGGGACUCGAAUGAAACCUAAAGGCGUAAUGAAAGUGAAGGUUCGCCUUGCGCGAACCUAGGGAGGAUGGUCGAUCGUUCGAGGUCGACCCGCACUCCCUGGGCGUCUCGUUCUCAUUGCGAGAAGAGGCGCACCAAGAGCGUACACGCUGGGACCCGAAAGAUGGUGAACUAUGCCUGGUCAGGACGAAGUCAGGGGAAACCCUGAUGGAGGUCCGUAGCGAUUCUGACGUGCAAAUCGAUCGUCGGAACUGGGUAUAGGGGCGAAAGACUAAUCGAACCAUCUAGUAGCUGGUUCCCUCCGAAGUUUCCCUCAGGAUAGCUGGCGCUCGCUUCUUGCGAGUCUCAUUCGGUAAAGCGAAUGAUUAGAGGCAUUGGGGUCGAAACGGCCUCAACCUAUUCUCAAACUUUAAAUGGGUGAGAUCUCCGGCUUGCUUGAACUGUGAAGCCGCGAGAUAUCGGAUCAGAGUGCCAAGUGGGCCACUUUUGGUAAGCAGAACUGGCGCUGUGGGAUGAACCAAACGCUGAGUUAAAGCGCCUAAAUCGACGCUUAUGGGAUACCAUGAAAGGCGUUGGUAACUUAAGACAGCAGGACGGUGGCCAUGGAAGUCGGAAUCCGCUAAGGAGUGUGUAAA